AUUGAACGCUGGCGGCAGGCUUAACACAUGCAAGUCGAACGAGUGGCGGACGGGUGUGUAAUGUUUGGGAAUCUACCUUAUGGAGGGGGAUAACUACGGGAAAGUGUACCAAAUCCCGCUUACCAUAGGCUGAGACCAUGUGGGAUUAGCUAGUUGGUGGGGGAAAGGGUCACCAAGCCGACGAUCCCUAGCUGGUCUGAGAGGAUGACCAGCCACACUGGAACUGAGACACGGCCCAGACUCCUACGGGAGGCAGCAGUGGGGAAUAUUGCGCAAUGGGGGCAACCUGACGCAGCCAUGCCGCGUGAAUGAAGAAGGCCUUCGGGUUGUAAAGUUCUUUCGGUAGCGAGGCGUUAACUACAGAAGAAGCACCGGCUAACUCCGUGCCAGCAGCCGCGGUAAUAC
Molecule: ribosomal RNA, 405 nt
Filed under: uncultured bacterium
Lineage: Bacteria
Description: partial 16S ribosomal RNA
Rfam family: Bacterial small subunit ribosomal RNA
Source: RNAcentral